AGAACAAAUGUCUAGACAACAAGACUAACCUACCAGGAAGAAAAGUUGUAGACGAUCUUUCGAGAAAGAAGUCUAACACAUAAGACAUCACAUAAAAGCCCAACUAGGCUAUUAAACUAGAAAAAUAGGACAAGCAGAAACAAUAAACAUUAAAAUUAUAUUUAACAGAUUAUAUACAUUGUCUAAUCGAUUAUUUCUACCAGAAAUGCAAUGUGCAAUAUGUUUAAACUUAUGAUUCAUUUACAUACAAUGAAUACAUGUACCAAACAUUUCAAGCACAAACACAGAAAUGUUCAAGCAAUUGUUAUGCCAUUUGUUGUGCAAGAAACCAUAAAACAUUUCUUUUGUUCAUCAUCAAAAAUAUAUAUGUGAAAUGGGUAUAGCUAGAUAUAGCUCCCUCUAUCAACAAUCUCCCAUUUUUUUAUGAUGUACAAACAAGAAAUAUGCUUUUUAGCUACUCUCUCCCUUUGGGUAUCAACAAAAAAUGGCAGAACAAGUAACAUGGAAUAAGUGCUAAAAGAAACAUAAAAAGUAAUCCUUACAGACCAUUCAAGAGUGUGAUGCUCCCCCU
RNAcentral lists this long non-coding RNA (571 nucleotides) under Vigna radiata. RNAcentral describes it as "long non-coding RNA (VRAD_LNC018076)". Lineage: Eukaryota; Viridiplantae; Streptophyta; Magnoliopsida; Fabales; Fabaceae. The record is from RNAcentral.